RNAcentral lists this ribosomal RNA (253 nucleotides) under uncultured bacterium. Its description in RNAcentral is "partial 16S ribosomal RNA". It matches the Rfam family "Bacterial small subunit ribosomal RNA", at positions 524 to 776 of the family's 1533-position model. The record is from RNAcentral.
UACGUAGGGUGCGAGCGUUAAUCGGAAUUACUGGGCGUAAAGCGUGCGCAGGCGGCUUUGCAAGACAGAUGUGAAAUCCCCGGGCUUAACCUGGGAACUGCAUUUGUGACUGCAUGGCUGGAGUGCGGCAGAGGGGGAUGGAAUUCCGCGUGUAGCAGUGAAAUGCGCAGAUAUCAGGAGGAACACCGGUGGCGAAGGCGGGUCUCUGGGCCGAUACUGACGCUGAGGAACGAAAGCGUGGGUAGCAAACAGG